GAUGAACGCUGGCGGCGUGCCUAAUACAUGCAAGUCGAGCGAACAGACGAGGAGCUUGCUCCUCUGACGUUAGCGGCGGACGGGUGAGUAGCACGUGGAUAACCUACCUAUAAGACUGGGAUAACUUCGGGAAACCGGAGCUAAUACCGGAUAAUAUAUUUAACCGCAUGCUUCAAUAGUGAAAGACGGUUUUGCUGUCACUUAUCGACGCAUCCGCGCCGCAUUAGCUAGUUGGUAAGGCAACGGCAUACCAAGGCAACGAUGCGUAGCCGACCUGAGAGGGUGGUCGGCCACACUGGAAGUGAGACACGGUCCAGACUCCUACGGGAGGCAACGGUAGGGACUCUUCCGCAAUGGGCGAGAGCGUGACGGAGCAACGCCGCGUGAAUGAUGAAGGUCUUCGGAUCGUAAAACUCUGUUAUUAGGGAAGAACAAAUGUGUAAGUAACUAUGCACAUCUUGACGGUACCUAAUCAGAAAGCCACGGCUAACUACGUG
This 497-nucleotide ribosomal RNA is filed under the name uncultured bacterium. Its description in RNAcentral is "partial 16S ribosomal RNA". It matches the Rfam family "Bacterial small subunit ribosomal RNA", at positions 28 to 507 of the family's 1533-position model. The record is from RNAcentral.